RNAcentral lists this ribosomal RNA (499 nucleotides) under uncultured bacterium. RNAcentral describes it as "partial 16S ribosomal RNA". It matches the Rfam family "Bacterial small subunit ribosomal RNA", at positions 30 to 523 of the family's 1533-position model. The record is from RNAcentral.
AUUGAACGCUGGCGGCAGGCCUAACACAUGCAAGUCGAGCGGAUGAGAGGAGCUUGCUCUUCGAUUCAGCGGCGGACGGGUGAGUAAUGCCUAGGAAUCUGCCUAGUAGUGGGGGACAACGUUCGAAAGGAACGCUAAUACCGCAUACGUCCUACGGGAGAAAGUGGGGGAUCUUCGGACCUCACGCUAUUAGAUGAGCCUAGGUCGGAUUAGCUAGUUGGUAGGGUAAAGGCCUACCAAGGCGACGAUCCGUAACUGGUCUGAGAGGAUGAUCAGUCACACUGGAACUGAGACACGGUCCAGACUCCUACGGGAGGCAGCAGUGGGGAAUAUUGGACAAUGGGCGAAAGCCUGAUCCAGCCAUGCCGCGUGUGUGAAGAAGGCCUUCGGGUCGUAAAGCACUUUAAGUUGGGAGGAAGGGCUCAUAGCGAAUACCUGUGAGUUUUGACGUUACCAACAGAAUAAGCACCGGCUAACUUCGUGCCAGCAGCCGCCGUAA